UAGGGAAUCUUCGGCAAUGGGGGCAACCCUGACCGAGCAACGCCGCGUGAGUGAAGAAGGUUUUCGGAUCGUAAAGCUCUGUUGUAAGUCAAGAACGGGUGUGAGAGUGGAAAGUUCACACUGUGACGGUAGCUUACCAGAAAGGGACGGCUAACUACGUGCCAGCAGCCGCGGUAAUACGUAGGUCCCGAGCGUUGUCCGGAUUUAUUGGGCGUAAAGCGAGC
Molecule: ribosomal RNA, 224 nt
Filed under: uncultured bacterium
Lineage: Bacteria
Description: partial 16S ribosomal RNA
Rfam family: Bacterial small subunit ribosomal RNA
Source: RNAcentral